CCAGUUUAAGAUAUGAAAAUUUUUUCCUGUCAAUUAUAAUUGUUAUAAUAUAUAUUGUAAUUUUUGGUUGGCUCAUCCUGUUACGGCAUUAAUAAUUACCGGCUUAAAAUUUAAAAAUCUUUUUUCGAUGAUUGUAAUUACCGUAAUAGGUGUUUCAACCCUCAUCUGCCUAAUAUCCUAUUAUGACAAAAAUAAAUACCACAAAUAUUUGCUGCCAAAAGUCCUAACCUUUUUCGAUAAUUAAAGGGCCUUUACCGACACUAUCAUUAAUCAUUGAUAAAACCUUUUCUGACACUGUCUUAGGUGGUAGAAUGUCUUUUGCUAGUAAACUCUUUAGUGGUGAUUAUAAUCGCCACUAAAGGUAAAAAAAACUGCCAUCAAAAUCUAUUUCUAUUGUAGUAACUUUAAUUAACUCAGUCACUGAGGUAGAGUACAUUACUACUAGUAAAGCUACUAAGAAAGCUAUCUAGAUAAAGAAAUUUAUCUCUAUGUCGGUUGUGGUUUCAAAGAUUGAACACCUCGUGUCACUUUAUUGUGACAAAAUUGGAAUUGUUGCUCAAGCCAAAGAACCAAGGUCCCAUCAAAAAUUCAAGCACAUCCUAAGGUGCUUCCACUUCAUUCAUGAUGUGAUCAUAAAAUGAGUUGACAUCUAGAACAAUAUAGCAGACCCAUUCAUUAAGAUCUUGUCAUUACAGUAAUUUGACCGCCACUUUGAUUGCAUGGGCAUCAAGUAUACGGACAAUUGAUUUUAGUGCAAGUGAGAGAUUGAAAGAAUAAUAUCCUAUAAACCAAUCGCACCAAUCGCAUGAGCGAUGCGAUGAAAUAUUUUUGAUAUUUUAUCUUUCUAAUUCAUGUAUUUGAUAUUAAUUAUUAAUAAAAUUAGAUAUUUUAUUUCAUUAUAUGAAGGAUCUUGAUAUUUAUUUAAGAUUAUAAUGAACCCCAUAUAUUAGGAUAAUGAUUUUAGAGCCAUGAUGAAAUCAUGCCAGUAAGAUCUAAAUCCUUGAUGGCUCUAAUCUAAAAUAUUUUUAAUCAUAGAAUCAUUGCUUCAGGGAUCAAUGAUACUGAUCAGACUAGCAUAUCCUAUGUAUACUCGAUAGAAAGGAUGGUUGACCUCACAAUCACUUGUGUAGAGAAAUAAUAUAAGGAGGUGGAUGCUCAUUGGAGGAUAAGUUCACUAAAUUGACCUAACGAGAGAACAUCUGAUGGGUUCUUAUAUGCAUGUCAACUGAUUGUUCUUUAGUAGAGGUAGUGUAAGUGAUCCUACGACCUGAGAUCACUAUGGUACCUUAUGUAUAUGAAUUUAUAUUUUGGUUCAUUUUCUAGUUUGACUCUCUGAGCAUUGUAUGGGAUGUUCUAGAUAUAGUGAAGUGUACAUGAAGAUUGUGAGUGGUCAACAAGGAAUUAGUCACUUCUUAUAAAGGAAAAGAACAUCCUAUGUGAUCUCGUAGGAUGAUGACUCAAGAAGUCUUUGACCAAAGUAGGAUGAUAAUUAGAAAGAAUUUCUAAUAUAUCAUCAACUGAGUCAUCAUCUUUUGAUCGAGAUAUACAUGGAUAAGUAUUUGGACUUGACAUGAUUUCAUGUCCAUAGCUUAUCUGGGAUGCUGUAUGAUCGAAAGAUUGAAUUGCAUAAUAACUCGUCACUAAAGGAUAUUUUUAAUAUUUUCAUCAAAAUUUUAUAUCUUCUAAGUAGUCAGAAAAUGUUGUUAGACAUCAAUCUUCACUUGUGGACUCGCAAGAAUUAAAGAGUUUAAUUCAGCAAUCAAUUAGAAAGAGUUCUAAUUAAUUGGAAUAUUUGGGCUUAUCUAUUCUAAUUGAAAUAGUUUGGUCAUGAGUCUAAGUCUACUACUGGCUAGAUGUGGAAUCCAAUGGAUCACACACUUAAGAAUUUGAUUAUGGACUAAUCUAAUUGGAUUUAUUAAAAAUUCUAUAGGUUUAAUUGAUAUGUUAGUACAUGAAUUAAUCCAAAUUUCCAAUCAACCUUAGUCCAAAGCUAUUUAAGCUAACCUAGAACUUGAUGCCUCAACCUAGUCUGAUUAGGCUCAAACCUACAGACUCCUAGGUGUCUAAACCUUAUCACAUGAAGUGUUUCAUGUGAACCUAAACUCCACACCUCCAUGCCAUUUAUUUUCAUCACCAUAUUUAUUUGAGGUGCCCAGAAGGAAGAGUCCUUUUGGGAUACUCUUCUUAACUUCCUCCAUGCCUUAUUUAAUCCAUGCGCCAUCUGAUGGUGCCUUGGGGAGUGUGCAUAGAAGAGGUGAAGUCCUUCUGCUUUAAGACUCUUCCACACCCAUUUGUUUUCACAUGUUGGUAUUUAUCUCAUACCAAAACCAAUGAGUUGGUCCCACAUGAGAUAAUGUAGUGCCAUGGGUUGUUUUCCAUGCCCCUUCAUUUUAUAUAAAUAAGGGGAUGCUAAAAUGGGAUUGACAUGGAUUUGAAAGAGGUGUUAGGCAUGGGUUUUGAAGAGGAAAGGAAGAAAAAAUCAAAAGAAAAGAAAAGAAAAAGAAGAAAAAAAUAGAGAGAAAAAUAAGGGAGCAAGAAAGAUAGAUUGUCUGCUUCUCUUAGUGGUUGAUAUAUCCAAGAGUUGGAUAUCUUAAUCAAAUCAGGGCAUGUCAAUUUUUUGAGAAAAGAUUUUUGGCAUGGUGAAGUGGAGUUUUGAAGGCUAUCAGGUUGAAGUGCAAUUCAUCCUUAAGAAGAAAAGUUGGCUAAGUUGCUAUGAAGCUAUCUUCAGUAUAGCAUCAGAUUGAGAAGGUCUGUGAUCGAUCCUAUGUGAACUAUCAUUGGAGGACAUCCACGAAGGUGUUUUGUGAAGGUCAUUCAUGUAUUUCAUCAUCAUCUUUUGGAAGGUAUAAUUCUUAUCUUGAUUAUUAUGCAUGUUAUGUUUGAUGGUAAUCAGCAAGGUCUUUCUAGGAUUGAGUUUCAAUUUGCUUAUUUUUAAUAGUUAAAAAUAUAUUAAAAUUUUUGAAAAUCAUAUUUCGCUGUACAGUCAAAAUCCAACAGCAACUCCUAAACAUUGUAGAGAGGACUAUGGUACUCAGUUUGGAUCCAUUUGAGGUCCUUUUCUACCAAGAUGCUCUUUUCAACAUCCAAAUUAACUUGAAGCCACCUCAGAUGAAGCCUCACCAAACCCCAUGGAGGCUCGAUCAGAGAUUCUUGAUUGCUCUCUCUCUCUGUUUGUAGAUCUUUAAUCAGGAGUUUCCAUUAGAAAGAAAGGAAAAUGAAAGGAAGAGAAGAGACAAGAGGGAAGACCAAAAGGGGGACCAAAAAACUGUGAACCUACUGAAGACCAAUGGCAAACAUGGGGCUUCAACAUGAACUCUGUGGGUGCACCAAAAGGAUGCAAUGGGGAAGAACAAUGGUGGCAGAUAUACCAUAAAGAACUCAAUGCACUGUCCUCCUUCUCUAGCACUAGUAAACAAAAAGACAUAAUAGGGAAAAGCACAUACUCCAAGUUUAUAUAAGGCCUCAAAAGGCUCUAAUAGGCAUGACCAUUCAAAACCAACAGUCCAAUAAUCAAGCAUGUGUUAGCUAGCCAUUCGGCUUUAAAUCGUCAUCAGGAUCAUAAGCAGCAAAGCAUCCAAUCAUCAUAUUAGAAGUUCCACAACACAUGAUAUUGCUUUGAGAAUUGUGGAUGUCGGCACUUCUCUCAUAAUUAUCUAGAAGCCUCUUGUAGUAGAUUCAGAAAGACAACUGAAGUAGCAUGGCCCCACAGCUCGGCUUCAUAGCUCAAUUUCAUGGCUAGGUUACGACUUCAUAGCUCAACUCUACAACUUGAGUUCACAAUGCCACAAUCAAUCAUCAUCUACAACUCUUCUACUUCCUACAUCCAUGCUGACAAGUCACCUCAACCUCAAAAUUAGAGGAGAAAGUCAUAUACCUCAAAAUCGACCUAGGCCAUAAUGGCAAAACCAAUCAAUUAGAAUCUACUACAAAGCCCUCAACUUGACCAACCAGUAUCUAUCAUGUAGACACUCCGAAGGUGCAUGAAUGCUCAAAUCUCCCCUUAUUCGAUUAUUGCUGACCCAUAAUGGUGGAACAAUCUCCAUAACCAUAAGAUACAUAGGGAAUCAUCCCAUGAUAUCUUUGGAUAUACAAGUGAUUAUCUACAACAAUCAUCCUCGAACAUCCCACAAUCCUAUCAAAAUGGGCUCCAGCCAUCACCUUUAUAAACUACUUUAGAGGGAUCCUUCAAGUAACUUCCAAGGUUGCAAGUAGUUUUAGACUAAAUAAAGUUGCUCUGCAACAAAACUCUCCUUCUAGAACUCUCUAUGCUCUCUCUCUCUCUCUCUUUCUGCCACCUACUUAGAAUCUCUCCUAUUUUUUUUAAAUGUAUCUAAUUGAGGCAUCGGAGGAUCUCCUACCGAACACUCUCUGGCAAGUAGACUUUCCUUGUCUGUGGUGUUUCAGAAACGACCCUAGUGUUGGAGUGAAGAUCCGGCCACUAUCAGCCAUCUUCCAAGGUGCCUCAAGAUCUCUAGCUAACUUCUUGGGUCCCUAAGCCACCUUAUGGAGAUCUCCAACACACUAGCUAGCUUGACGGCCUAAUCAGAUCAAUCCUCAAUGGCAACACUUGCAAAGAAAAAUCACCUAGUAGCCAGAACUGUGGAGUCUACAAAUAACCAUGAUUAUAUGUUUCAGUCCAAAGGCAUGAUAUUUCAAAAAACAUGGUUUCUAGCAACACAUCUACAUCAUGCAUGUGAUGAUGCUAGGUUAUGUACAAAUAAUGUUGCAGUGAUUGAAGGGUCCUAUGACUACUUCUAUUGCCAAAUAGUUUUUAUAUGAGAGGUGUGAUAAUCUACUGCUCAAAAAAGUGUAUUAAGCAAGCAACAAGAGGAUAGGAUGUACAUUGACAUAUAAGGCCUAAAAGAUGCAUGACACAAAGAAAAUGGAUAAUUAGAUAAGAAGGUUUUGUUAUGGUGGAUUUGAAAGUAUUGUGGCAAUUAAUAGUUGACAUGAUAUGAUGUGCAAAGAUUUAUCCAAUUCAUGCCCCAUGUGGUGACCUCAAAGCUGCCAAAGACUCUCUAAGGCACUCUAGACAGUCCUUCUCAAGCAAGCAUGGCAAUCAGGCUGAGCAGAUUAAAAGUGACAAAUCUCCAAAGUCGACACCUCCUAGCUCAACUCAAUGACCUCGAAUGCCGAUCCAUGCCGAGCAAAGUCUUUCCCUAGAAGAAGCCUCUUGGUUCCUAUUUUUGAAAGGCUUAUAUAACUCCAACACAUGUGAGGUUGUUACAGCACAUCCUCGAGUUUGUUAGGGCAUGAUCCCAGACAUUUGGAACUUCAAUUAUAAAUAGGUUCAAAUGCAUGCCCUCUGCAAUGGGAGAUAAUAGUCUUAACCUAGAGGAGACCCAACUCCUCUAUUCUUCCUUUCUUUCUUUCUUUCUACAGUUCCUAUUGAAGAAACCUUUUAUUGACUUAAACCACCAAAGCUGAGGAUGAUAGCAAAGAUGAGGUUCCACCCAGAGAAAGGCUUGGGGAUAAAGAUGCAAGGGAGAAUUAAGUUUAUACAACCAAGUGUCUAGCUGGAGUCAAUCCGACAAGUCUUUACCAUUUGUCUGUUAUCUUGUAGGUACAUGAAAGUAACCCAUGUCAUCCUUCAAGGGCACACAAAGGUACAAAUACUUAUAACUGUAGCAUUUGAUGCAUGGUGAUUUGGUUAUAGAUUACUUCCAAAGCUGCAUGUCAUGCCUCUGACCUAAGAUCAUGAGCCAGGGGUUAUGGUAACGACUGCAUACUUUUAAAGAAUUCUUCCCACAAGUAUACAAGGCAUCUCAUUACGAUAUCAUAAAGCAAUAGUAAAAUAAAAUUUAAAUAUUUAAUAUUUAAUUUUAAUUCAAAUAACUAAAUCAAGUAUCUUACAAAAUAAGAUCUCAUAGUUUUUCAUCAACUUCAAUAUAUCCUAAUAUAAAAUAAAGACAUCAAAUCCUACUUUUAAUUCUCUCUCCCAAUUUAAAUUUUAAAAUCAAGCUAGUUCUUUGAAUAUAUAAAAAUAAUAAAAUAUAGAAUAAUGAGCUAGACAGUCUAGUAAGUAAUGUAUGCAUUAGCUAGAUAAAUUUAGCAAUAGAAAUAUACCAAAAGUAAGCAUGCAAGUGUAUCAAUUCAAUAUAUAUAAUAUUAAUUGAAUAAGAUCCAUGCAAGAUUUUUUUUGUUCAUAAAUUGAUUCCUUUCAAAAUAUCAUAUUCAUCUCGAUAGCCAUAAAUUAAAUCAAAAUGCCACUACAUAACCUUCAAUUAUAGAGUAUAAAGUACCAACGCACAACUCUUAUUGAUAGGAUAUCCAAAUACUAGUGCAUAAUCUUCAUUGACAGAGUAUCAAAGUAUCAAUGCUCAACCCCCAUUGGAAAGAUAUUAAAAUAUCAGUGCACAACCCCAUUGGCAGGGUAUUGAAAUACUAGCAUCUAACCCCCACCGAUAGAGUAUCAAAAUACUAGUGUUUAACCCCCUCUACAGGGUUCAAUACUUAAUUAGGCCAUAAGUCAAAAUCCAUCUAAAAUUGAAAUACAUUUUCAUAUUCCAAUUUGAAAAGUCAUGAAUCAGGUAAUAUCAAAUUCAAUCGAUAUAAUCCAUAGCAAAUUCAAUUUGAUUUAUCAUAAAUCAUUUAACAUAUUGAAAAAAGAUAUAUUCGAUAAUCCAAAAUACCAUACAUCGAAUUUAUAAAUCAUGAAUUAUUCAAUACAGAAAAUAUUUUAUAAUUUACUAAUAGAUGUAGAAAAAGUGAAGUAUUACUUAGCUUACAAGCAAAACUAAUCAACUAAUUAAAUUAAUUUUGAGAAUCUCUCUCAGAACUCAACACCAUUACAUUAGAAACUUGUAUAUCUCACCGUGUAAGAGCAUAGACCUUUUUUUGGAUCCAGAGUGUCAAGCUUCUAUCCUCAUUCUAUUCAAUUAUUGGGGCAAGUUGACUCUCUAUAUUUUUUGUGGAUAUUCAGUUAUUUCGUGGCCCUUCUGAUCACAACCAAAAUAUGGAUUAAUAUUCUAGUCUUUUUUACUAUGAGCUUUACCAUAUCUAAAAUACUUGAUACUAUCAGUCAAUCUAGAAUUAUUACUUACUAAUAUUUUAUUUGAACUAUCGAUAUUUUUACUAUUCUACCAUUGAUAUUUAUUUUACAUAUUUUUCUUCUUUUAAUUCCUUUCUCAUUUUGUAUGUUUCUUAUUAAUUUUUUUUAAUUAUCAAUAUUUUAUUCACCAUAUUUGGAUAAAUAGUUAAUUCAUAUGGUAUCAUUUGUUUUCUAAUUUUUAUCGUCAGUCCCAUUUCAAAUUUAUACACUCAGUCACACUUAGUCUCAACCAACCUCAGAAUAAACUUUUAAAGCUCCAUAAAUUUAGCUUCAUAUUCUAUAACUAUUAUAAUUUUUUAUUUCAAAUAAAUAAACUCCUAUUCUUCUAUGUCCUUACGUUUCGAAAAAAAUAUUGAUUAUAAAAUGUCCUUCAAGAUUUUUUUUAGAUAAGUUGUUCUCCAUUUUGUUCAUAUUUAUGUUAUAGUCUCUACCACCAAUUGAAUGCUUCAUCUUGCAAUAUGUAUAAUGUAUACAACAUCUUUUUAUCAUCAUGGCA
RNAcentral lists this long non-coding RNA (7547 nucleotides) under Elaeis guineensis (African oil palm). RNAcentral describes it as "long non-coding RNA (EGUI_LNC033728)". The record is from RNAcentral. Lineage: Eukaryota; Viridiplantae; Streptophyta; Magnoliopsida; Arecales; Arecaceae.